GGGGUUGUAGCUCAGUGGCUGAGUGCUCACCUCACAUGCGUGAGGCACUGGGUUCGAUCCUCAGUACCACA
This 71-nucleotide transfer RNA is filed under the name Marmota monax (woodchuck). RNAcentral describes it as "tRNA.Val". Lineage: Eukaryota; Metazoa; Chordata; Mammalia; Rodentia; Sciuridae. The record is from RNAcentral.